Long non-coding RNA from Lacerta agilis (Sand lizard), 1016 nucleotides. RefSeq lists it as uncharacterized. The record is from RefSeq and is a predicted model, not a curated record. The transcript has 2 exons. NCBI's taxonomy places the organism in Eukaryota, Metazoa, Chordata, Lepidosauria, Squamata, Lacertidae.
UGAUCUUAAGCCAAGCACAUUGACAUCAGCAUGCGUUUAGGGUCAUGCUGGAUCAAAUUUUGCCGUCUCUGAAAGAAGGGCAGAGAAAAAGAAUUCUGUGGGGCAGAGCCAUCUUUGCAUUGCAAUGCACAUCUAUAUUAGCAGAGACAAGACUUCUGUUCUAAUUUGACUCGCUGGAUGUCCAGGUUUAACCAAUACCUUUGGGACUGGGCCUGUUUGGGUUGAGUGACAGCAGGCAAAUCCAGUUCCAAUGUGUUUUCCACGUUCCUAAUGCUUGACUGACAACUUUGAAUUUUAGAUCGAAGCGGCUGCAUGGAUCUUGCUGUUUACACUGAAGCAAUUUCUGUCCUUUUUAUGCCUUCCAACAAAGAGACGUGUGCAGGAAGGUCAGGCAUUGCUGUGUGUUUUAAGGGAAAAGGACGGGGAAAAUAGGAAAAAAAGAAAAAUGAGAGAAAAAUGUGGAGGGAAAAAAGCUACCUCAAGGUAUGAAGUUACCUCAGCAAUUGUUUUGUUUUUGGGCUUGCUGAUAUUUUAUAUAAAAGCUGAUAGUCUUGAAUAUUUUAUUUUUUUAAUGAAAAGAGAAGUUAAGUUUCAUAAUUUCUUAUGAGCCAGAAGUUGUUAUGCAGGUCGGCAGUGUUAUGAGCUCUCUAUGGAGAACGACAGAGACUUCAGACGUAGCGGAAAAGAUGGCAGAUCUCUCUCCACCCCUAAAAACGACAGUUCAGUCUUUGCCUUACUCCGAGAAUCAAAUAAUAAUUUUCAGCCCUUCAAAAAUAUGGCUGGUUUAGGAUCUGCACCUUUUGAUUACAGUGUCCAAAUCAUUAAAAUUUGUGUGAUUAGACGCACCACACUCCAAAAGGCAUAUAUAAGAAAGAGAAACACCAAACUGUAGUCUAGAGUCUGGUCCUGAUUUAAAUUCACUUAAUUUGGAUGUUGGGGUGAGUUUACUUGAUCAAUGUAGGUGGUUGUAGUUCUGUGGUUGGUUACUUGGAUUAAAGUUCAGGCAUGUUUAUUCU